UCAUUUUGACGGUUCCCCUUAAACAUAUCGGAUAUGUAUGGGGAAGUAGUGUGUCGGGGAGCUCACUAUAACUCAAAAUCAACCCAAAAUUGUGUGUAUGCAUGCUUAAAUUUCACGGGCGUUAUGUUUUAUUCUGGGUUUACUUUAAUACGAUUUCGCACAAUUUGGAAAAAUGCGCCUGUAGCUGAUCUAAAAACUUGCAGUGUCAGCCCGACCUUAGCUUCCUUUUAUUCUCCCUAGUGAAGGCACAGAAUUUAAGCAGAUGAUUGAACUGCUGACGUUUUCUGUAUCAGCUUGUUCCCUUACAGAGCCUGCGAAAAAUAGCCCACAUUGGCAUACAGCGGCAUGGCGGAAAUUAUUGCUUUGGACUUUUCCUGGCCGCAUCCACAAAGAGCCUAGAAAAUUUAGAAAUUAUUUUGUUUAUAAAAUUUACAAAAUGUAUUACUGAUUUGGAGACAUGACACGUGUAAAAGGUUAAAUACGUAUGAAUUAAAUGUUCAAUUGAUACUCAGGUUAAUACAGUACAGUACGACCAUUAAACUUUA
This is a long non-coding RNA of Esox lucius (northern pike), 545 nucleotides long. RefSeq lists it as uncharacterized. The transcript is spliced from 2 exons. The record is from RefSeq and is a predicted model, not a curated record. Lineage: Eukaryota; Metazoa; Chordata; Actinopteri; Esociformes; Esocidae.